Molecule: ribosomal RNA, 274 nt
Filed under: uncultured bacterium
Lineage: Bacteria
Description: partial 16S ribosomal RNA
Rfam family: Bacterial small subunit ribosomal RNA
Source: RNAcentral
AUACGGAGGGUGCAAACGUUGUUCGGAAUCACUGGGCGUAAAGGGCGCGCAGGCGGUUUGAUUAGUCAGAUGUGAAAGCCCACGGCUUAACCGUGGAAGUGCAUUUGAAACUGUCAGACUUGAGUACUAGAGGGGAAAGUGGAAUUCCCGGUGUAGAGGUGAAAUUCGUAGAUAUCGGGAGGAAUACCGGUGGCGAAGGCGACUUUCUGGCUAGAUACUGACGCUGAGGCGCGAAAGCGUGGGGAGCAAACAGGAGUAGAAACCCCGGUAGUCC